AUAUGAGUGUUGAUAAUGAUAAUGCGAUAACGAUAAUGAUAGAAUUUUGACCAGAUUCACUAGAAUCGUUGACCGCUUUAGGCUGCUCUUCGUACUGAUCAAAGCAGAAAUUUUUUCUAGCGCGUGGCAUGGUCUUCACAGUUUCAUAGAGUAAUAACCUAUAGAUAGACACCAUUAGCUCCGCCCGAACCUCUGCUGAGAGCAUAGAGUAAGAAUCUAUAUAGAGACACCAUUUGGUCUGCCGCUCUCUUUUAAGACUGCCAAUGGUGCGAAAACAGAUAGUUUCCCUAGUUUUUAAAAUGUUCGAUGGGACCUUGUAAUUCGUUCCCGCGGUGAGUUUUAUGGGAAAUAUAUCUGCACCGCUCUUACUCACUGUUUUCCUUUCGUUAUUGAUCCUCACCCCUAUUGCUGUUGCUUCGCUUGAAAUGGUUGGGCAGAGGUUCGGGCAGAGCAAAUGGAGUCUCUUUAUAGAUCAGCGGUCGGCAGCGGCCUAUUAAGUGAGCAUAGGGAAGUGUUCUGCCCAUCCUCUGCUCGCUCGAGUAUAACGUAGAUGGGUCUUUGGGUCAUUUUUUUCUCAGCUUCGGCGCACUUUUUUGUUGAUGCGGCAGAGGAUCUCAUUGCAAAGCAGAGAAACGUCAGCACGCCGCGCGUAAACUUAAUGUUCGUUACACAGUGACAUAAAGGGCAUGGGUGCAGUGGCACGCGCCAACAGCGAAGAGAAAACAAAAGAAAUCAAGUAAAGGGUGAGAGGAACACUUGGCUUAUUCUGUUUGAGUUAUUGAAAAGGAAGCAAAUAAUCAAAUAAAACCCUUUUUUUAAACAUAUGGCCAUAAAUUUUUUCAGGAGCGUUGGCCAAGUAUUUGGAGGACCCGGACAAAGGUUUAAGGAAGGCGAUGCCCAAUGUAAAGAGCAAAUUAACGUAUCAUAAAACUAGGCUUACCAACAAUAAUUGUCCUUUAACAGAAAACCUAAAUAACACUAUUGAUUUUAAAUGAAUUUAAAAGUAAAUAAAGAUGUAUGUAUUUUAAAUUCUA
Non-coding RNA from Drosophila suzukii, 1034 nucleotides. The record is from RefSeq and is a predicted model, not a curated record. NCBI's taxonomy places the organism in Eukaryota, Metazoa, Arthropoda, Insecta, Diptera, Drosophilidae.